Molecule: long non-coding RNA, 451 nt
Organism: Triticum aestivum (bread wheat)
Lineage: Eukaryota; Viridiplantae; Streptophyta; Magnoliopsida; Poales; Poaceae
Exons: 2
Source: RefSeq, a predicted model, not a curated record
UAAUUCUAUCAUCUACCUAUGGAAGACGAUCCAACAUGGAUGCUCUAAAAAGUACCGGAUGUUUAUAAAAUCUGCAUAUAACAUCACCUGCAUCGGAAAUUUCUGUAGCAUUUGAGGAUGAGAAAAUGGUGUAUAUGGUGUUGAAGGAAGCGUAGGAAGAAGCAUCUUGACAAAAGACAUGGCAAAGAUGAUGUCCAAGGGAAAAGCAGGGAAGUAAAACAUAAUUAGUUUAGAGUGGUUAAUGUGAAAGCAGUUUUAGUUUCAGCAAGAGGUGGAUUCUGAAGAUAACAACAGGUCAACAGCACAAGACUAUGAUAAGGCAUAACAUAGUUCUGAUGGGAAGGCAUAACAUAGUUGCUGGAAGAUAUAUUUGUACAAUAACAGGCACGCACAUGCAUGUGUAGUUAUACGGGAUUUAAAAAGAGUUAAUAUGAGAGAUUCAAUUCUGAUA